This 257-nucleotide ribosomal RNA is filed under the name uncultured prokaryote. RNAcentral describes it as "partial 16S ribosomal RNA". It matches the Rfam family "Bacterial small subunit ribosomal RNA", at positions 524 to 780 of the family's 1533-position model. The record is from RNAcentral.
UACGGAGGAUGCGAGCGUUAUCCGGAUUUAUUGGGUUUAAAGGGUGCGUAGGUGGCCUUGUAAGUCAGCGGUGAAAUUUUGCAGCUUAACUGUAAAAGUGCCGUUGAUACUGUGAGGCUAGGAUUUGGUUGCUGUGGGUGGAAUGUGUGGUGUAGCGGUGAAAUGCUUAGAGAUCACACAGAAUAUCGAUUGCGAAGGCAGCUCACAAAGCCAAGAUUGACGCUGAGGCACGAAAGUGUGGGGAUCAAACAGGAUUA